UGGGGAAUAUUGGACAAUGGGCGCAAGCCUGAUCCGGCCAUGCCGCGUGAGUGAUGAAGGCCUUAGGGUUGUAAAGCUCUUUCGCCGGUGAAGAUAAUGACGGUAACCGGAGAAGAAGCCCCGGCUAACUUCGUGCCAGCAGCCGCGGUAAUACGAAGGGGGCCCAGCGUUGCUCGGAAUCACUGGGCGUAAAGCGCACGUAGGCGGAUCGUUAAGUCAGGGGUGAAAUCCUGGAGCUCAACUCCAGAACUGCCCUUGAUACUGGCGAUCUCGAGUUCGAGAGAGGUUGGUGGAACUCCGAGUGUAGAGGUGAAAUUCGUAGAUAUUCGGAAGAACACCAGUGGCGAAGGCGGCCAACUGGCUCGAUACUGACGCUGAGGUGCGAAAGCGUGGGGGAGCAAACAGGAUUAGAUACCCUGGUAGUCCACGCCGUAAACGAUGGAUGCUAGCCGUUGGGGGGUUUACCUCUCAGUGGCGCAGCUAACGCCUUAAGCAUCCCCGCCUGGGGGAGUACGGUCGCAAGAUUAAAACUC
This 533-nucleotide ribosomal RNA is filed under the name uncultured bacterium. RNAcentral describes it as "partial 16S ribosomal RNA". It matches the Rfam family "Bacterial small subunit ribosomal RNA", at positions 355 to 902 of the family's 1533-position model. The record is from RNAcentral.